Molecule: non-coding RNA, 704 nt
Filed under: Streptomyces afghaniensis 772
Lineage: Bacteria; Bacillati; Actinomycetota; Actinomycetes; Kitasatosporales; Streptomycetaceae
Description: Bacterial large subunit ribosomal RNA
Rfam family: Bacterial large subunit ribosomal RNA
Source: Rfam by way of RNAcentral
GGCCAAGUUUUUAAGGGCGCACGGUGGAUGCCUUGGCACCAGGAACCGAUGAAGGACGUGGGAGGCCACGAUAGUCCCCGGGGAGUCGUCAACCAGGCUUUGAUCCGGGGGUUUCCGAAUGGGGAAACCCGGCAGUCGUCAUGGGCUGUCACCCGCUGCUGAACACAUAGGCAGUGUGGAGGGAACGCGGGGAAGUGAAACAUCUCAGUACCCGCAGGAAGAGAAAACAACCGUGAUUCCGGGAGUAGUGGCGAGCGAAACCGGAUGAGGCCAAACCGUAUGCGUGUGAGACCCGGCAGGGGUUGCGUAUACGGGGUUGUGGGAUCUCUCUUCUGUUGUCUGCCGGCAACAGGACGAGUCAGAAACCGUUGAUGUAGGCGAAGGACAUGCGAAAGGUCCGGCGUAGAGGGUAAGACCCCCGUAGUCGAAACGUCAGCGGCUCGUUUGAGAGACACCCAAGUAGCACGGGGCCCGAGAAAUCCCGUGUGAAUCUGGCGGGACCACCCGCUAAGCCUAAAUAUUCCCUGGUGACCGAUAGCGGAUAGUACCGUGAGGGAAUGGUAGAAAAGUACCGCGGGAGCGGAGUGAAAUAGUACCUGAAACCGUGUGCCUACAAGCCGUGGGAGCGUCGGAUGGAAGCUUGCUUCCAUCUCGUGACUGCGUGCCUUUUGAAGAAUGAGCCUGCGUAGUUUGCGGUGUGUUGC